AAGGAAGAAAGCAAUACAGGGAAGACAACAGGGAAGAAAAGUCAGUCACAGUUUCCAGUUCAGGCCCACUUCUUUACGGGCGACACAUGCAGGCCAACCCAGAGGCGCCCAAAAAGAACGCCGACAAAUCCAAGAAGAUCAGCCGCAAGCCGCUGGCGGCCAAGAACAAGUAACGAAGAGGGUGACGAAGAGCUGAUCCGACCAUCCGAGAUGAUGAACCUCACUGCAUGUGCCUUUCCAUUUGAUAUUUAUUCAGAACUUAUGUUUUAUAUUGCUUCAGUAUUACGUUAAUCAUGUAACCUCCAGUUGACUCCACUCUUGAUAUGCCCCAGCCAUUUUUUCCAAGUGUCCUUCUUGUCCAAUGCCACUUUUUGCCUUCAAAGUGCCGCUUCUGUCAAGUCAGACCUGUGUUGGGUGCUAAUCAGCUUUUCUGAACGUGUUUGUUGUGUCUCGAGAGGCGGCAGGAGUUUUGUCCUACUCGGCCAUCCAGACGAGGAGAGCGGUGAAUUUUGGGAGGUGGUGACGAGCGUUUUGUAACCGUACAGGGAUUUAGAAGGAGUUUGGGGUCUUAGUGGACUCUGAGCAGGAUUGUGUCAAGUCUCCGGGGGGAAACCGCUGACUGCUUCCUCUGCCUCUUAAUGACCGAUAUGAAUGGCUGCAAACAGGAGUUUCAGAUGGUACACAGCAGAUUCCAGACAGAAACACCCCGGUGGCCAUUUGAGAGGGUCAACAAGAUAUCGCAACAAACCACAGAUGGUGUUCUCUGAAGCGGUUGGCCAUUGUUUCUUACUGUUUCUUACUUCUAGUUAACAUGACGGUGUAACUUUUUACAGAACAACAUACAGUUGUAUUUGUAAAGAACCAGUUUCUUGAACCGGUUAAUCAUGCAAUAAUAUUGCCAUUUCUGCCGUCACUACAGUUUUAUGUUGCGUACACUAACAUCUUCUAAUUCUGCAAAGCUUGGCUGAAUUUGAAGUUUUAUUUUUUAUGUAUGUUAUUUCUUAUUUUUAAAGGUCACAAGCCAUUUCAUUGCAAUCACAUUUAAAUUUGUAAUAUUUGACUAUGUUUUAUCAUAUGCACACAAUGCAGUGUGCUAUGUACUGAAUUUUUGACAUUGAAAUAAAGUCACCAUUUUGUUGGA
Molecule: long non-coding RNA, 1141 nt
Organism: Sinocyclocheilus rhinocerous
Lineage: Eukaryota; Metazoa; Chordata; Actinopteri; Cypriniformes; Cyprinidae
Exons: 2
Source: RefSeq, a predicted model, not a curated record